GAUGAACGCUGGCGGCGUGCCUAAUACAUGCAAGUCGAGCGAACAGACGAGGAGCUUGCUCCUCUGACGUUAGCGGCGGACGGGUGAGUAACACGUGGAUAACCUACCUAUAAGACUGGGAUAACUUCGGGAAACCGGAGCUAAUACCGGAUAAUAUAUUGAACCGCAUGGUUCAAUAGUGAAAGACGGUUUUGCUGUCCCUUAUAUAUGGAUCCGCGCCGCAUUAGCUAGUUGGUAAGGUAACGGCUUACCAAGGCAACGAUGCGUAGCCGACCUGAGAGGGUGAUCGGCCACACUGGAACUGAGACACGGUCCAGACUCCUACGGGAGGCAGCAGUAGGGAAUCUUCCGCAAUGGGCGAAAGCCUGACGGAGCAACGCCGCGUGAGUGAUGAAGGUCUUCGGAUCGUAAAACUCUGUUAUUAGGGAAGAACAAAUGUGUAAGUAACUAUGCACGUCUUGACGGUACCUAAUCAGAAAGCCACGGCUAACUACGUG
This 497-nucleotide ribosomal RNA is filed under the name uncultured bacterium. RNAcentral's name for it is "partial 16S ribosomal RNA". It matches the Rfam family "Bacterial small subunit ribosomal RNA", at positions 28 to 507 of the family's 1533-position model. The record is from RNAcentral.